UGAGGAAUAUUGGUCAAUGGGGGAAACCCUGAACCAGCAACGCCGCGUGAGGGAAGACGGUUUUCGGAUUGUAAACCUCUGUCCUCUGUGAAGAUGAUGACGGUAGCAGAGGAGGAAGCUCCGGCUAACUACGUGCCAGCAGCCGCGGUAAUACGUAGGGAGCGAGCGUUGUCCGGAAUCAUUGGGCGUAAAGGGUGCGUAGGUGGCACGAUAAGUCUGAAGUAAAAGGCAACAGCUCAACUGUUGUAUGCUUUGGAAACUGUCGAGCUAGAGUGCAGAAGAGGGCGAUGGAAUUCCAUGUGUAGCGGUAAAAUGCGUAGAUAUAUGGAGGAACACCAGUGGCGAAGGCGGUCGCCUGGUCUGUAACUGACACUGAUGCACGAAAGCGUGGGGAGCAAAUAGGAUUAGAUACC
This 413-nucleotide ribosomal RNA is filed under the name uncultured bacterium. RNAcentral's name for it is "bacterial SSU rRNA". It matches the Rfam family "Bacterial small subunit ribosomal RNA", at positions 355 to 786 of the family's 1533-position model. The record is from RNAcentral.